RNAcentral lists this ribosomal RNA (1094 nucleotides) under uncultured organism. RNAcentral describes it as "bacterial SSU rRNA". It matches the Rfam family "Bacterial small subunit ribosomal RNA", at positions 229 to 1305 of the family's 1533-position model. The record is from RNAcentral.
GUCCGCGUCCCAUUAGCUAGUUGGUGGGGUAAAGGCCUACCAAGGCGACGAUGGGUAGCCGGCCUGAGAGGGUGUCCGGCCACACUGGGAUUGAGAUACGGCCCAGACUCCUUCGGGAGGCAGCAGUCGAGAAUCUUCCACAAUGUACGAAAGUAUGAUGGAGCGACGCCGCGUGUGUGAUGAAGGCUCAACGAGUUGUAAAGCACUGUCAGGGGGGAAGAAUCAGCGCAUAACUAAUAAAUAUGCGCUCUGACGUACCCCCAGAGGAAGCUCCGGCUAACUCCGUGCCAGCAGCCGCGGUAAUACGGAGGGAGCAAGCGUUGUCCGGAAUUAUUGGGCGUAAAGGGCACGCAGGCGGUUCGGUAAGUCGAAUGUGAAAUCUUACAGCUUAACUGUAAAACUGCGUUCGAAACUACCGAACUUGAGUACUGGAGAGGUAUGCGGAAUUCCUGGUGGAGCGGUGGAAUGCGUGGAUAUCAGGAAGAACACCGGUGGCGAAGGCGGCAUACUGGCCAAGUACUGACGCUCAGGUGCGAAAGCGUGGGGAGCAAACGGGAUUAGAUACCCCGGUAGUCCACGCUGUAAACGAUGGGUACUAGGUUUUGGAGGUCUCGACCCCUUCAGAGCCGCAGCUAACGCAUUAAGUACCCCGUCUGGGGAAUACGGUCGCAAGGCUGAAACUCAAAGGAAUUGACGGGGGCCCGCACAAGCGGUGGAGCAUGUGUUUUAAUUCGAAGCAACGCGAAGAACCUUACCAGGGUAUGACAUGUGAGCUUCGACCUUCGGGAAGAGGUUAAUCCUGUGAAAGCAGGACGAAUCACACAGGUGUUGCAUGGCUGUCGUCAGCUCGUGUCGUGAGAUGUUGGGUUAAGUCCCGCAACGAGCGCAACCCUUGCUGUUAGUUACCAUCGGGUAAUGCCGGGGACUCUAGCAGGACUGCCGGUGAUAAACCGGAGGAAGGUGGGGAUGAUGUCAAGUCAUUAUGACCCUUUACACCCUGGGCUAACCACGUGCUACAAUGGUCGGUACAAAGGGGAGCGAUACCGCGAGGUGGAGCAAAUCCCAAAAAGCCGGCCUCAGUACGGAUUGCAGUC